Long non-coding RNA from Gossypium arboreum, 667 nucleotides. RefSeq lists it as uncharacterized. Lineage: Eukaryota; Viridiplantae; Streptophyta; Magnoliopsida; Malvales; Malvaceae. The transcript has 2 exons. The record is from RefSeq and is a predicted model, not a curated record.
CGAUUUAAAAAACCUAAAAUUUUCUCUGAAAGAGAGAGAGAGAGGAGAGAAGCUCCGGGCUCUGGCCUCCGUAGGCCUCGCCCCGGUCGUCGGCCUCACGCGCCCACACGCUGCCCUAAGGACCACCGCGCACGGUGGCUAGGGUUCGAAAAAACCUUCUUUUCCUUCGCCAAUCAUCAAGUAAUCCACGAGAAUCUCGCUCGAUCACUGAUGUCUGCGCGCUAAUGGAGCCAACGCCAGAUUCUGGCCGUGUCUUGUGCGUCGAUGGUGGCGUGACAUAUGAUGGCAGAGUCGAGAAGUCACGGCGUGCUUGGUGGCGACGAUUGAGAUGAAAAGCCACGCCAUUUGAAGUGCCCGAAGCUUCUAGAAACUCCUUGCGGCGCGAGGAGAGGGCUAGGGUUUCUAACUCUAAUAGAAUGCUUCUAAAUUUUGGGCCUCUGAGAGUUUGGGUCUGUUUUAGGUUUGGGCUUUGGGUGUAUUUGGGUUAAGGUUAUAAUUGUAAUGGGUCCAGGGUGUAAACGGGUUAAGGUUGUAAGUGGGUCCACUGGGUAGCUUUAGGCCUGCUGGGUAGUAUCCGGGUAAAUGGGUCUGAGAUGUUUGAUUUUGGGCCCAUUGUUUGGGCUUUGUAACAUGGACUUGGACUGUUUAAUAAAUGUAUAUUUAUUUA